RNAcentral lists this ribosomal RNA (854 nucleotides) under uncultured archaeon. Its description in RNAcentral is "bacterial SSU rRNA". It matches the Rfam family "Archaeal small subunit ribosomal RNA", at positions 85 to 922 of the family's 1478-position model. The record is from RNAcentral.
ACUGCUCAGUAACACGUGGCUAACCUGCCCUUGGGACAAGGACAACUCCGGGAAACUGGGGCUAAUCCCUGAUAGGUGAGAACUCCUGGAAUGAAUUCUCGCUGAGAGGACGUUUAGACCAUGCUUCUAGGCGUCGCCCAAGGAGGGGGCCGCGACCGAUCAGGUUGUUGGUGAGGUAACGGCUCACCAAGCCUUUAACCGGUACGGGCCGUGAGAGCGGAAGCCCGGAGAUGGGCACUGAGACAAGGGCCCAGGCCCUACGGGGCGCAGCAGUCGCGAAAACUCCGCAAUACACGAAAGUGUGACGGGGCUAUCCCGAGUGCCACCCGCUGAGGAUGGCUUUUCCCCAGUGUAUAAAGCUGGGGGAAUAAGGAGAGGGCAAGCCUGGUGUCAGCCGCCGCGGUAAUACCAGCUCUCCGAGUGGUGGGGAUGUUUAUUGGGCCUAAAGCAUUCGUAGCCUGCUUGGCAAGUCCUCCGUUAAAUCCAACGAUUCAAUCGUUGGGCUGCGGGGGAUACUGUCCGGCUAGGGGGCGGGAGAGGCCGACGGUAUCCCCGGGGUAGGGGUGAAAUCCUAUAAUCCCGGGAGGACCACCAGUGGCGAAGGCUGUCGGCUAGAACGCGCUCGACGGUGAGGGAUGAAAGCUGGGGGAGCGAACCGGAUUAGAUACCCGGGUAGUCCCAGCUGUAAACGAUGCAGGCUAGGUGUUGGCGCGGCUACGUGCCGCUCCAGUGCCGCAGGGAAGCCGUUAAGCCUGCCGCCUGGGAAGUACGGCCGCAAGGCUGAAACUUAAAGGAAUUGGCGGGGGAGCACCACAAGGUGUGAAGCUUGCGGUUUAAUUGGAUUCAACGCCGGA